Molecule: non-coding RNA, 31 nt
Filed under: Rattus norvegicus (Norway rat)
Lineage: Eukaryota; Metazoa; Chordata; Mammalia; Rodentia; Muridae
Source: RNAcentral
UGGUUUGUUUUCAUGAUAUUUACUGGUUUGG